UGAAUCACAGGCUGAGCUGGGAAGUGUUCAUAUCAUUCCAGGCCCAUGGCUUAUGCCAUCAGACCGUGCUGCUUCCAGGAAAAAUGUGAGACCCUGCUCUUCCCUUUCUUGGACAAGAAAUUCAUUUCUGAAGACUGCUGUUGGUCAUGCUGAAACAUGAAUUCAGAUUCAUUCCAUUUCCAAACCACUGCAAGACACCACAGAGCCCUCAGCAGCCUUGGACACAAUCUUCACCUCAAGAAACUCUACAAUUAUCUCUUUGCCUCUAGGACAGACUGAAAGUCUGAUGAGUCAGCCAUGAAAAUACCCC
Molecule: long non-coding RNA, 310 nt
Organism: Alligator sinensis (Chinese alligator)
Lineage: Eukaryota; Metazoa; Chordata; Crocodylia; Alligatoridae
Exons: 3
Source: RefSeq, a predicted model, not a curated record